GAUGAAGACGUAGCGAAAUGCGAUAAGUAAUGUGAAUUGCAGAAUUCAGUGAAUCAUCGAAUCUUUGAACGCACAUUGCGCCCGCGAGUAUUCUCGCGGGCAUGCCUGUCCGAGCGUCAUUUCAACCCUCAGGGCCCGCCUGCUUGCAGGCGCGGCGCUGGUGUUGGGGAUCGGCUACCCUGCCGUCCCCCAAAUACAGUGGCGGUCUCGCUGCAGCCUCCCCUGCGUAGUAGCAACACUCGCAUGCGGAGCGCGGCGCGGCCACGCCGUAAAACCCCCGACUUUCUGAACGUUGACCUCGGAUCAGGUAGGAAUACCCGCUGAACUUAAGCAUAUCAAUAAGCGGAGGA
Molecule: unclassified non-coding RNA, 350 nt
Filed under: soil metagenome
Description: partial contains 5.8S ribosomal RNA, internal transcribed spacer 2, and large subunit ribosomal RNA
Rfam family: 5.8S ribosomal RNA (bases 1-119)
Source: RNAcentral